CUACCCCUAAGAGGGGGACAACUCCGCGAAAGCGGGGCUAAUACCCCAUAAGACCACGGGCUGGGAUGUCUGUGGUAAAAGAAGCGAUUCGCUUAGGGAUGGGCCUGCGGCCUAUCAGGUAGUUGGUGGGGUAAUGGCCCACCAAGCCGAAGACGGGUAGCCGGGCUGAGAGGUUGGACGGCCACACUGGAACUGAGACACGGUCCAGACUCCUACGGGAGGCAGCAGUGGGGAAUUUUGCGCAAUGGGGGAAACCCUGACGCAGCGACGCCGCGUGGAGGAUGAAGGCCUUCGGGUCGUAAACUCCUUUUCUCAGGGACAAUGAUGAUGGUACCUGAGGAAUAAGCCACGGCUAACUCUGUGCCAGCAGCCGCGGUAAGACAGAGGUGGCAAGCGUUGUUCGGAAUCACUGGGCUUAAAGGGCGCGUAGGCGGUCGUGUAAGUCUGUGGUGGAAUCUUAGGGCUUAACCCUAAAACUGCCAUGGAGACUGCAUGGCUUGAGUCAGUGAGGGGAGGGUAGAAUUCCUGGUGUAGCGGUGAAAUGCGUAGAUAUCAGGAGGAAGGCCGGUGGCGAAGGUGGCCCUCUGGCGCUGAACUGACGCUGAGGCGCGAAAGCGUGGGGAGCAAACAGGAUUAGAUACCCU
RNAcentral lists this ribosomal RNA (644 nucleotides) under uncultured bacterium. RNAcentral describes it as "bacterial SSU rRNA". It matches the Rfam family "Bacterial small subunit ribosomal RNA", at positions 126 to 788 of the family's 1533-position model. The record is from RNAcentral.